AUUGAACGCUGGCGGCAUGCCUUACACAUGCCAGUCGAACGGCAGCACGGGUGCUUGCACCUGGUGGCGAGUGGCGAACGGGUGAGUAAUACAUCGGAACAUGUCCUGUAGUGGGGGAUAGCCCGGCGAAAGCCGGAUUAAUACCGCAUACGAUCUACGGAUGAAAGCGGGGUACCUUCGGGCCUCGCGCCAUAGGGUUGGCCGAUGGCUGAUUAGCUAGUUGGUGGGGUAAAGGCCUACCAAGGCGACGAUCAGUAGCUGGUCUGAGAGGACGACCAGCCACACUGGGACUGAGACACGGCCCAGACUCCUACGGGAGGCAGCAGUGGGGAAUUUUGGACAAUGGGCGAAAGCCUGAUCCAGCAAUGCCGCGUGUGUGAAGAAGGCCUUCGGGUUGUAAAGCACUUUUGUCCGGAAAGAAAUCCUUGGCCCUAAUACGGUCGUGGGAUGACGGUACCGGAAGAAUAAGCACCGGCUAACUACGUG
This 486-nucleotide ribosomal RNA is filed under the name uncultured bacterium. RNAcentral describes it as "partial 16S ribosomal RNA". It matches the Rfam family "Bacterial small subunit ribosomal RNA", at positions 30 to 507 of the family's 1533-position model. The record is from RNAcentral.